Molecule: ribosomal RNA, 450 nt
Filed under: uncultured bacterium
Lineage: Bacteria
Description: bacterial SSU rRNA
Rfam family: Bacterial small subunit ribosomal RNA
Source: RNAcentral
AACGAACGCUGGCGGCAUGCCUAACACAUGCAAGUCGAACGAGACCUUCGGGUCUAGUGGCGCACGGGUGCGUAACGCGUGGGAAUCUGCCCCUCGGUUCGGAAUAACACAGAGAAAUUUGUGCUAAUACCGGAUAAUGACUUCGGUCCAAAGAUUUAUCGCCGAGGGAUGAGCCCGCGUAAGAUUAGCUUGUUGGUGGGGUAAUGGCCUACCAAGGCGACGAUCUUUAGCUGGUCUGAGAGGAUGAUCAGCCACACUGGGACUGAGACACGGCCCAGACUCCUACGGGAGGCAGCAGUGGGGAAUAUUGGACAAUGGGCGAAAGCCUGAUCCAGCAAUGCCGCGUGAGUGAUGAAGGCCUUAGGGUUGUAAAGCUCUUUUACCAGGGAUGAUAAUGACAGUACCUGGAGAAUAAGCUCCGGCUAACUCCGUGCCAGCAGCCGCGGUAAU